GACGAACGCUGGCGGCGUGCCUAAUACAUGCAAGUAGAACGCUGAAGGAGGAGCUUGCUUCUCUGGAUGAGUUGCGAACGGGUGAGUAACGCGUAGGUAACCUGCCUGGUAGCGGGGGAUAACUAUUGGAAACGAUAGCUAAUACCGCAUAAUAGUAGAUGUUGCAUGACAUUUGCUUAAAAGGUGCAAUUGCAUCACUACCAGAUGGACCUGCGUUGUAUUAGCUAGUUGGUGGGGUAACGGCUCACCAAGGCGACGAUACAUAGCCGACCUGAGAGGGUGAUCGGCCACACUGGGAAUGAGACACGGCCCAGGCGCCUACGGGAGGCAGCAGUAGGGAAUCUUCGGCAAUAGACGGAAGUCUGACCGAGCAACGCCGCGUGAGUGAAGAAGGUUUUCGGAUCGUAAAGCUCUGUUGUAAGAGAAGAACGAGUGUGAGAGUGGAAAGUUCACACUGUGACGGUAUCUUACCAGAAAGGGACGGCUAACUACGUG
RNAcentral lists this ribosomal RNA (495 nucleotides) under uncultured bacterium. RNAcentral describes it as "partial 16S ribosomal RNA". It matches the Rfam family "Bacterial small subunit ribosomal RNA", at positions 28 to 507 of the family's 1533-position model. The record is from RNAcentral.